CUGCGAACUUAGAACUUAUAUCUCAAGGUGGUUGGCGCAUUUACGUUGUAGAUGUCCAUGGGCUCCGGUAACCACUUAACACCAGGUGGGCUGUGAGCUCGUCCACCCAUCUAAGCAAUAAAAAAGUAACAAAAAAAAGACGGUUGACAGAUACAACUGUGUCCUCGAGGGCUUGUCUAAAGCUGUAUUUCCGUUGGGUUUGUCUAUGAACUGUGGUAUCCAUUUAUUUAACAGUCUGCACUUUAAAAAAUAACGAAAAUAAACCGUACGUGAACAAAAUGAUCGCUAAAGACGUGGCACACGAGGAGUAAACGGCGCUCGAUAAAACUGGUAUCCCGCGAACCAAGGUCACAGUUUCGACCAUAAAAAAAACCAAUGCUAUUUUACAAAUAUAAGUAUUUCGUAAUUUUCUUUUUUUUUUUUUUUGGUGUCCAAGGUUAUAAACAGGUUCAGAGCCAAGUUCAGCGCCACGUGAUAAGGUGUCAAUUGGUUUAUCACGAGCCACGAGCAAUCAUGACAUCAUCUACGCUCGAUUUCGUUGCGCAUCCGAAAUUCCAAUUCAGAACAGUUUGGCACGAAUCGAAAAUAAAUAAAACGUAUUUACUAUUUCUUUGCUGCUGAAAACAGACAGGCUAAUUGCUGCACUGGGAUGACUUAAUAGCAAAAAUUCUCACCUAACUGCAGGAAUCGAUCUAUUUCGAGGAUCGAAACACUAAUAUGUAUUAUUGAGUUUUUUCCUCAACAAUAAGGUGGAUCAAAACGGGAUACGCGACAUAUCGUAACUACAGAGAGAAAAUCAGCAGGUCCCGUUUUUUUUGGAAGCAAGGAAUAGUGGAAGCCUUUCCUCAUCAGGACAGGUGGGCGAGCUCGGGCACAGCCAGGAGGGUAGGAUUUGCUAACAGCUGCCCGAGUGCCUCCGAAGGAGACCUAACAGCUCAUGGGCAGUUGUUUCGCGAAAGCAUCUACUACCGAAUCGUAAUCGCGACCCGACUAUUUGCAACGUGGCUCUGUCUGGCUCUAAAAUUAACUCUUACUACGAAAGGUUCUGCUGCAAGGACCGCUUCAGCAAAAAUCCUCAUCGCUCACCAUCAUUAUCGCCUUUGUAGGGCAAUAAACAAAAACCUAAAACUUCUUGCACUUGUUCAGAUGACACAUACGAACAUGACAAUUUUACUGUCUCGAUCGUCAUUGUUCGUUGAAUAUUCCCAUCCUUCACUUAAUUCUUAGUGAAUAUCUGUGACCUUGCUCGUUCACGAAGCCCGCUAUAGAAAGCAGAGUAUUAAAUACACUUGACAUUGGCGAAAUCUAAAAGGAAACGCCAUAAACCUAAGAGAUAGUAGUAAUUCCCAUCCUUCGUUCCACAAUGAACGUCCCUGCCCAUGACUGACCGUCUGCAAUGUCGCUUGCUUCAUACGACAAUAAAUUAAGAAUUUGUCACGAAACGAUUUCUGAGAACGAGAUAAGAUGCGUUUUAUUUCGUUUCAAGGUUCACGAAGGGCAUGUGAGCUCAUAACAGUUCAGUAUCAAGUCGAUUUCUCCAUAUUAAUGUUUGGUAUAACGAUUGAGACGUUCGUCUCAAGGUACAAGGAAAAUAUGAAACUUCAACAAUCAUCAAUAAUAGCGAACUAUUUAACCCACUUAAAGCCACUGAAAAAAGAAAAAAUAAUAUAUGUUUUUGUUAUUUAUUGCGCAAUUCCCAUGGCCUGACUCGUGUAGGGUCAUCUGAAACCAUAGACGUGAUGAUGUGGAUGCCGCUAUCCGCUUUGAGACAUGAGACGAUUAUCUCAAUUCUAUAACCGCUUUCGUGCCUUUCAAAAUAUGAUACCCAACUGUUUUAAGGCCGAAAAAGCAGGAUAGUAGGACUUUAAGGACUUACAACACGCUCAGUAAAACCCGUUUGUUGACUUAGUACACUGAUACCAUACUCAUAUAGCUCUGUCUCUCCAAUGAAUCUCAUAGUCACUUUCUCACGGGAAUAGUUAGAGCGAUGCUAAUUUCAAUAAUAAAUUUAAUCAUAGCAUCGGAUGCCAAAGCGGUCUAUUGAUAAACAUAAGAUAUGAUUCCGAGGCGAGCAGGGUACACUUGAAACUUGAAACAAGUCACAUCACAUAAUUCUCGUGUCUGCGUUACUCGUGAAUUAUAGUUGCGGCUUGUCAUUCGAUAUACAGUUGAGAGGCGACCAAACUGUCUGCGAAAUUUUUUGGACUAAAAUCGAGAUCAGGUCUCAACUAAAUUUAUAUUCAAUAAAAUUAAAAUGCGUUGUAACACGAAAA
Molecule: long non-coding RNA, 2273 nt
Organism: Bombyx mori (domestic silkworm)
Lineage: Eukaryota; Metazoa; Arthropoda; Insecta; Lepidoptera; Bombycidae
Exons: 2
Source: RefSeq, a predicted model, not a curated record